ACGUAGGGUGCAAGCGUUAAUCGGAAUUACUGGGCGUAAAGCGUGCGCAGGCGGUUAUGCAAGACAGAUGUGAAAUCCCCGGGCUUAACCUGGGAACUGCAUUUGUGACUGCAUAGCUAGAGUGCGGCAGAGGGGGAUGGAAUUCCGCGUGUAGCAGUGAAAUGCGUAGAUAUGCGGAGGAACACCGAUGGCGAAGGCAAUCCCCUGGGCCUGCACUGACGCUCAUGCACGAAAGCGUGGGGAGCAAACAGGAUUAGAUACCCUGGUAGUCCACGCCCUAAACGAUGUCGACUGGUUGUUGGGGGUUUGACACUCUCAGUAACGAAGCUAACGCGUGAAGUCGACCGCCUGGGGAGUACGGCCGCAAGGUUA
This 372-nucleotide ribosomal RNA is filed under the name uncultured bacterium. RNAcentral's name for it is "bacterial SSU rRNA". It matches the Rfam family "Bacterial small subunit ribosomal RNA", at positions 525 to 896 of the family's 1533-position model. The record is from RNAcentral.